RNAcentral lists this ribosomal RNA (450 nucleotides) under uncultured bacterium. RNAcentral's name for it is "partial 16S ribosomal RNA". It matches the Rfam family "Bacterial small subunit ribosomal RNA", at positions 354 to 796 of the family's 1533-position model. The record is from RNAcentral.
GUGGGGAAUAUUGGACAAUGGGCGAAAGCCUGAUCCAGCCAUGCCGCGUGUGUGAAGAAGGUCUUCGGAUUGUAAAGCACUUUAAGUUGGGAGGAAGGGCAGUAAGUUAAUACCUUGCUGUUUUGACGUUACCGACAGAAUAAGCACCGGCUAACUUCGUGCCAGCAGCCGCGGUAAUACGAAGGGUGCAAGCGUUAAUCGGAAUUACUGGGCGUAAAGCGCGCGUAGGUGGUUUUGUAAGUUGGAGGUGAAAUCCCCGGGCUCAACCUGGGAACUGCCUCAAAAACUGCAUGACUAGAGUACGGUAGAGGGUAGUGGAAUUUCCUGUGUAGCGGUGAAAUGAGUAGAUAUAGGAAGGAACACCAGUGGCGAAGGCGACUACCUGGACUGAUACUGACACUGAGGUGCGAAAGCGUGGGGAGCAAACAGGAUUAGAAACCCCUGUAGUCC